Molecule: transfer RNA, 71 nt
Filed under: Conolophus subcristatus (Galapagos land iguana)
Lineage: Eukaryota; Metazoa; Chordata; Lepidosauria; Squamata; Iguanidae
Description: tRNA-Ser
Rfam family: tRNA
About the family: Transfer RNA (tRNA) molecules are approximately 80 nucleotides in length. Their secondary structure includes four short double-helical elements and three loops (D, anti-codon, and T loops). Further hydrogen bonds mediate the characteristic L-shaped molecular structure. tRNAs have two regions of fundamental functional importance: the anti-codon, which is responsible for specific mRNA codon recognition, and the 3' end, to which the tRNAs corresponding amino acid is attached (by aminoacyl-tRNA synthetases). tRNAs cope with the degeneracy of the genetic code in two manners: having more than one tRNA (with a specific anti-codon) for a particular amino acid; and 'wobble' base-pairing, i.e. permitting non-standard base-pairing at the 3rd anti-codon position.
Source: RNAcentral
GGGAAAGAAGCAUUGUGGUAAUGUGGUUAGCUUGAAACUAAUUGAGGGAGGUUCGAUUCCUUCUUUUCUCG